UACGGAAUAUUGUUGGAACCA
Molecule: microRNA, 21 nt
Filed under: Callorhinchus milii (elephant shark)
Lineage: Eukaryota; Metazoa; Chordata; Chondrichthyes; Chimaeriformes; Callorhinchidae
Description: eshark_NOVEL_180
Source: RNAcentral